RNAcentral lists this long non-coding RNA (12061 nucleotides) under Eucalyptus grandis. RNAcentral describes it as "long non-coding RNA (EGRA_LNC000936)". The record is from RNAcentral. Lineage: Eukaryota; Viridiplantae; Streptophyta; Magnoliopsida; Myrtales; Myrtaceae.
CUGUCACCUCAUAUCAUUUUAAUGAAAUUCUUUUGGAGAGAAAAAGAGAGAGAGAGAGAGGUCAGAGGUCUUAGUAAGGUGAUUGUGAAAUCUUGCCGCUGCAGUUCAUCACCCACGGAGAUGAAAAGGUUAGACGUCCGUGUACGUGGAUACCCCAGGCCCCCAGAUCUGACGGCUAAAGUAAAAGUGAAACAAGAUUGUGACAAAGGGGUGCUUUGUCUCAUCAAAACCCUCGUUCCUUUCCUGGGUAGAUGCAAGGUGUUGUUACCAGCUCCUUCCCAACCUCAAAAGGCGCUAAAUGCUCUGCUCUCUAGCAUUGCCCCCCGGACACUACCAGAAUCACAUACCAUUUACUCACAACUGCUAUUAAGAUGGUCGUACAAACGGCUUGUAAGUAGAUCAAAACAGCAUGCGCGUCUGCUUACUCCGUCGUGAUGCUCAUUUGACAGUUUGGAAGAUCUAACAUGAGGUUAAUUCAAGCUGCACUUUAAUAUCUAGACUCUAGAUUAGAGCUGUAAUAACAUCUGAUCUGUUCUUGUGAUUCUGGCUAUAAUGCGAUGGGUCGAAAACAGUUUAUCUAGAGCUUCUAAUAUAACCCAGACAAGAACACUAUUGCUUUGAGUCUGCACUCUCGUCGACUUUAGGCCGGGUGUUCAUGAGAAUCUGGGAUGGAAAUAAAGAGUGACGGAAUCAGUAACUCAUGGGAUGCUUUCGAAAGGAACAGCAUGAAGUACAUCGCAGAACAGAAAGGAUGGGGAUGAUCUGACCUUCCUGAGCAUCAUGUUUUCAUUCAUCAAAGUCGAGAUCUUCUCCUCCAGCUUCACGUUGUUGUCUUGCAACUCGCGGGCUUUCGAUUCCAGUUCAUUGACAUACACCUUCUUCCUCUCGCGUGCUUGCUGAGCAGAGACUCUGUUCCUCAGUAACCUGGUAUGAUUAAAAAAAAAGUCUUUUAAGGCAACAAGCUUUUUCCUUAGGCUUAAAUUCGACAUGUACUGGCCCAGCUCUUGGCAACCAUAGUGAAAUCGACUAGGAGAACGGCGCCAAAGAAACAUAAACCACCACGAAAGCAUCGUUGCAUACAUGAUACUUAGUGACUAGGGUGGAUACCUCAUACUCAAAAGCUAGCAAUUCACGCUAUCAAUCUUCCAAAGCCCCAAUACCUCAAUUAUCUCCUAUGAACCAUUUGUGUCAAUGGACUCAUUUGAUCAAAACUUGAGACGAUGUGUGUAAUCCCAAAAAAUAUUCAUAAGUGAUUGUUAAUGGAGUUGAAGUUACCAAAUUGUGAGGAGACAGUAUCAAUUUAUGCCUAAGAUAGUUCCUCCAACCACAUUUUCUAGAUGAACUAGAGCCAAUCGGAAUUAAUCUUGUAAGAGAUCCGCUACAGAAUGGAUAUGUUUCAAAUGAUUCAUAUCGUCAAGUGUAUGAAUUCCAAACAAUUUCAACAAAAUCUUGCAAUUUCUUAUUUUACAUGUUCAAUUCAAAUACUCUAUGUAUUCCUCCGUUCCUAGAGUAUAUUAAAUGUACAGAAAUGGCUAUAACAUAUGCAUAGCGGUUGUCCAAGGAGCAACUACAAAUAAGAAAAUCUUACCCUGGCAAGUCACAUAUUGUACAUUUACUUUAGCAGGUUUUUUUUUUUCAUUUUAAAAGGCUUUAUUGACUCAUUUCAUUUCGUGGCUCAAAAGUUUAAAUUAAAUGAUGGGUUUUAUUAUUCAAAUCUUGUUGUUUGCUAUUUUAUACAAAAGAAUCGUGCCUAAUUCACUAAUUUGUGAGAUGAUACUAUGAUUGAUAGAGUGAUCACUGAUCCUAAUCUCCGGAAUGAAUACUAUGUUGUGAAAUUACAUUUGAUGAUGAGAUAGGACCUGCAGAUUUACUUGUGAUAUGCUUCUCUAUUAGCUCACUGCCAAUCAGAAUUAGUCUAUUAACUGGGAUUAUUUUCUUCGACCGGGCCUCCGCAAUGCUAUGAAAACAAGAUGAGGAACUUUGACAAUGAAAAUGUCACCACUUUGACAAGAAGCAAGAUUAAGUUGAUACACUGUAAUCGUGUUUAAAUCCAUGGCUAAACAUUCUUUUGCCAGAAAUGAAUCAGCGCAAGUAGCUAGCAAAGUUAUAACUCUGUACAGUGUGUCGACUCAAUUGAUGCAUCGAAGUAAGCAACUAAGGUUGCUUUGCCACUAGAUUUUACUAAGGAAUGACUCAGAGCAGAUCACUGAACUAAGCAAAACCAGCAGAAUCUAUGAUCCGCACAGAGCAAAAAGGGACAUACCUCUUGAGCCUCUUAUACUCCUUGUCAACAGGGUUCCGUCCCCUCCGUCGCUUCCCGGGAAUUGCCGUCUGAGCCUGAUCAGCUUCUUGUUGCUCACUGACAUGGACAUUACUGUUCCCUGUAGAAUUCACAGCUGGUCGAGCCUCCAUGUCCGGAACCGUGAACAAGUCCUCGUCGUUUUCCUCUGAACCCAGCAGAAUCAUCAAAAAAAGAAACGGAAUUUUCCAGCACAAAAAUGAAAUUCUAGCAUCGAUUAUAUGCACACUACCAUUGCCGAUUAGGCAUAUAUAUAUUGGUCAAGCGACAAUACAUGUUAGAUUUCAAAUGCAUAUUGCUUGCACUACUCUCUCUAAUACCCAAAAUUACCGAAGCCAAUUAGUUGUGCAAUGUCCAACAUGGCAUCAAAACCAGUAGAGUUCAUGUCAACUCCUUCGAUUCACCCAAUAUUCCGAUCUCAUUGUUUAACUAGUUUUAGAAAUCGACACACAGGGCCAUCAAGAUGAUCCGUGGAUACCAACCGUACUCUAAUCUAGAACACUCCUCUUCUCAUAGACCUGCUGCUACUGCAAUUACAUGGGCGGUCCAUUCUCUUCCAUGCAUAUACACAAACCUGUGCUCCGAUUAUGAGUCAGUGAGAGAUUAUUCAGGUGCUCGGAAAGAGCUGAACACCCAUAUUAUCCAAACAGCACUAAUACAAAACAAGAAACCCGAAAAAUCCCAUCACCAAAAGGGUCCUAAUCCAAUAGCCAAGAAACGGCAACAAGAGGAGGAAAAAAAGACGGAAGACAAGGAAAAUGCAAUGACAGAAGUAAUAAUCACAGACCUCUCUUGUUCUUCUUCUUGAGGGCGCAAGAAGGAGAGGUGAGAUCAUUCCCAUCUUGCCUGGUCCGCCAAGAAGAAGAGGAAGACGAUCCUGUUGGCUCCAUUCCCACCUGGACCGAAGCUACGUCGACUUUGCCGCCGUCUCCAUGCCUUUGCGCAGACAUUUUCCGCGAGCUCCGCCUCAGUGUUUGUCAAUGAUGCGACGGUAAUGGCAUUCCAAAAUCCACAGUCUAUUCAUCUUUUUUUUUUUGAGCAUUUAUUUCUUACUGUGGAAGAAGUCACUGUUCGUGUUUUGUGGAACAUGGGAGGGAGGGAGAGUUUGGCUCAAGAACGAACACGUUGAUGCAUGGAGAGCCGCCACUUUCGCUUCAGCUACUGCUCGUCACUUCCCUUUCACAUUAAUCCAGAAUCCAAAGUCCGUCCACUGUUUAUAUUUGCUUUUCAUUUUCUUGCUUGGAACUUACACGUGCAUAUAAAUAGCUCGUAAAAUCCAAAUGAUAACUCUAUUUUAGAUAUAAUAUUUUUUACUAAUUUAAGCUUGAUAUUUGCUAAGUUUUGAUAAUUUUUGAGUGAAUUUAUUUGUUACCCAUGUAGUUUUAUGAAUAUUGUAGGAAACACGACUUUCGGGACCAUAUGCAUCAUUUGCAAAAGAUGAGGGGAAUCAUGUGAAAUUUUCCAAUAUGUUUGUGCAGAGCAGUCCUUACGCCUCAAUAUUUUCCAGAAUAUCUGAAUAUUUCUAAGGAUAUUUUAAUAUAUUUAAGGACAUCUCAAUAUCUUCUAGAAUAUCUCAUCUUAAAGAAAAAACCAGCUAAGACAAAAAAAAUUUGGUGGAUUUGACCAUAAUUGAGGCUAGAUUCAAAGAAAAUCAACAAUAUGAAUCUUAAGAAGAUAAACUCCUAAUUUGCCAAAAGUCCUAUUCAAAACUUAAUGGGAGGCUGACCUCAAGUAGAUUUUUGGAGGCCUAUAUAAACACAUUUUCUACUGCAUAUUUCGAUUUUUGGGAGGAGCUAGGAGUCGCUAUCAGACUUUAGGUUUUCUUAAUUAGUUUUUAUGUUUCUAUUUUAUUAGUGGGAUUGGUGCAUGUCGAGGAGAGAAGAAGGAGGCAAAUCUGAACGUAUUUGUGACUCAAAUUGGUGAACUUGUUUUAAUUUAGCAUUAUGCUUUUUAUUUUAUUUUAUUUUCGUUGUUAGUUUAGCUUUAAUUAUGUUUAAAAGUUAUUUUUUUAGAGCCACAAUGGAUCUUAACCAUGAUUGAUUGGUUUUCAAAACUUAUUCAUUCAAUAUAAUUGUUUUGAUUGUAGCAUUCUCUAUCAUGAUCUUAAUGCUUUUAGAAGUUUGGCCAACUUUUACAUGAUUUUUUUAUGUAUGCUUGAUACUAGGUGGAGACUUUGUGCAUGAGCACUAGUGAUAUAGAACCAUAAAUUAAAUCUAGGUCAAGGUACACUAGAUUGUUUGUGUGGUUGCGAUAGCAGAUCUAAGUUAGAACUACUUAGAUUAAAUCCGGGAAUUUCUAUAAGAGCUUAAUGCUUUUAGAUAGUUUAAAUUCACUUGAGGUUAGUAUGGGUCGACAUAUCUAAUUGGGGAUUAUUAGAUUGAGGUCAGCUUAUAAUCUGACUUAGGGAAAUUUUAUCAACACAAUUGGGAGUUAAUUUGUUGCAUGAGAAGCUAAGAGAAUUAAUUAUGAGUGAUUAAGUGAAGUUGGAUGCUCUAACGCUUUGUGAUCUUGGUUAAAAUCUUAAAAUUUUCCUUGUUAAUUUUCGGUUUACUUUAGAUUAGGUUUAUUUUGCAAUUUCAAUUAGCUUUUGAAUUCUUUAGGUUCGGCUAUUUUAUAUAUAGCCCUUUAAUUGGUUUAGUUCACUUUUUACUUUCCUUUUCAACUAGGUUAGUUAAUCUUUGGAUCAAUCACCUUCGGUAAGUAAUUGGAUAAUUAGAAACAAUCUUGGUGAGAAUGAUAUUCACUUAUUAUUUUAUUAUUUGAAGAUAUUGGACACUUACAAUUCAACUAACACAAAAUAAGUAGAAAAUAACAGUUGAGUGAUGUCCGGGUCAAUUUUCACAUCAACCCACUCCAUCGUUAAUCAAUGAAAAGACCUCUUGCUUAUGAUAUUUGUUUUGACUUUUGGGCUUGUGCUAGGGAGAACUCCAAUGUUUUAAUGAUGUUUCUUCAUAAAUUAUUUGGAGCAUAGGCCAUCCCAAAAAUGUUGCAAUGUAAUAAAGCAAAUAAUAAUGGUGGAGGCAUGAACAAUUAUUCACAUAAAAAAUUUAGAAUGGUUCCGUUUGUUCACAAAAAAUAAAUGUUUUUCAAAAUAUUUUUCUAAAAAUAAUCUCUUCUAUCAAUUAAAAAAAUGAAUGUACACGAAAUAUUUUAUUGACUAAUUAUUUCAGACAAUACAUAUAGUCAUUUUAAGGAAAAUAUCUUUUAAAUUAUUAAUUUUUGGUGAAACAUACGUGAUUCAACACAAUCUUACAUUAAAAAGUCUAAAUUGUCCCUUCUUACAAACCCAAUUUAGCAUAUUGUUUAGGGUUUGGCUACUUGGUUUUUAGUUGCUUUUUAGUGUUUUUGAUAAGUAGGAGAAUUUAAGAUUUCGGGAUUGAGACUUUUGAGAAAGAAAUUGCAUUUAAAUAGGGACAUAUAGAUAUUUCAAGUCAACCUAGCAAGAGUUUCGACAGGGGCUUUUGAUGGUAUUUUAGUAACUUGAUACUUAGUUUGGACACAAUUCUUAUUUUAGUAUGUCGGUGCCUGAAUGCCUUGCCCCCCUCAAUUUUCGACGGAUGCUUUUCUUCCUGACUGAAUACAAGAGAUGACAUUAAGGAGUCCCAUCCGUUAGGGAUUCUUCCCUUUAUUCUUUUCCAUUAAACUUUUUAAUGAUUUGAUGAGAUUCAUGCAUUUAAAUAAGGACAUAAAGAUAUUUAAAGUGAAUAUCCAGAGUGGACUCUCAAGGUAAUGCAUGUUUUUGGUGUUUCUCCGGUUUAGAACUUUUUAACCGUUUUUGUUAUUCUUUGUUGCGGUCGUGAUUUUUACUGCAAAAAGAGAAGACAUGAAGGUAGAAAUAAGUUUCGGGCUUUGGCUCGGAUUGGCCCUAGAGUAGCCCGUCCCCAUUCGAUCCUAGCCGAAGUGCACCAAUUGAUGAAGUGGUCAACCCGUGCCAAUUCAGAAACCCGUACGGGAUCCUAUACUCUAUCUGCCUUCCGUUUCAUUACUUUAUAAUCUCCAAUCACGCUCGAUAAACUCAUGAACAUGCUCUCAUCAUACGAUUUUGCAAAAGAGACAUUUUCGCUCUCACGAAGGUCGGUCUGUCUCAAACCCUCCGGACAAUACAGCCUCAGCGCCGUCUUUGUUUAAGACAAAAUCAAGGAAACCUAGUACCGAGGUUUUCUAUUCAGCCCGCGUGCGUGCAAAUUUUGCCUUCAUUCGAUAGGACCGUUGCGUUCCUGCAGCUGCCGCUUGGAGUGAUCUCCCUCGCGCGCGGGUCUCUCUCUCUCUUUCUUUUUUUGUUUCUUUCCCACCAUCGAGGAAGAGAAGAGAACGAAGCAGAGAAGAAAAAUUCGUUGAAUUCUUACAUAUUCGAUGCCAAUGAAACCCCUGCCUUCUUCUUCCUCGCGAGUCCCCGUCAAGUUCAGGAUGUGAGUUAUAGUGCUCUUUUCUUUCUUGUUCUCUCAGUACGAAUCUUGGGUAUCUUUCAAUUAGUGCUCUUUCGGACGUGGGGAGGCUGAAUCGGUCCUGGAAAUUGAAACCCUUCAUUUUUUUUUUCUGGGUUUGCCCGCGAAAGCCCGACGGCUGAUAAUUUGGUGCCGAUCCGGCUGGACAUUGAAAUCGACGGCCAGCGGUAUAGAGAUGCGUUCACUUGGAACCCUUCAGGUACUUUUCUUUUGAUUUUCAAUCUUGGUUUUGUUCUGAGAUUUCGAAAUCUUGAAGUUGGUUUCCUUUCUGAAUUGGGUCAUAAAUCGAGCGACUUGAAGAGGGUUGAAGGUGGUUGAAGCUCGAUAAAGGGUGUCUUGGAUUUGUGCAGGUUAUGUUUGUUGUGUCGAAGAUACGACUAAAGGUGACUGGAAGAAAAUAAGUAAAUGUAUCUCCGUAGGCUGGAAAUGAGUACAGUCACUCAACUGGAAAAACAUGAGAAUUCUUGAGAAUCAUAUCACUGGCUUUUCCGAAUUGGCUUUAACAGAAUUAGCCUUCUUGCAGUUAUGUUGAACCUCAAAUUGUAUCCCCAUGAAGGGAAUGCUGAAGUUGAAAAAACAACCUAAUCAUUCGAAUCCUUGUUGUGGCAUCUAUAAAUUAUAUGCCCUCUGCUUGAAUCAUAACGACUUACUUCAAUUUUGCCCCUCUCCCCCCAUAGUAUACGUGUAAGAACUACAGAUUAUUCAACAAUUUUGAUCUAUAGUGCUUGUGCAUAUUGGUAUGUCAAAUUUGACAUCCUUUUCCAUUUACCACUUUAAGUGGCUUUUGGAAACUGACCUUUAAUCGACUGUAGUGUGCGACCCUUGCAGCUAAUUCUACAUUGGUGUGAAGUGAACUGAUAAAUUUUGUGGACAAGUAGUUGUAUUUCUCUCAUGUGCUUUUUCCAUUUUAUAUUUUUGAUGGUGUAGAUCCUGAUUCAGAGGUGGUAGUGUUUGCGAAGAGAACGGUGAAAGACUUGAAGCUUCCUCCAGCAUUCGUAACUCAAAUUGCUCAGUCCAUUCAAGUAAGCAAACUAUGGCAGUAUUGCCUUUCAUUUGGUUAUAUUGAGACACUUGUCCAAGAUUUAACAUAAAUAUUUGUCGAUUGGCAUUGUUAACCAGUCUCAGUUGGCCGACUUUCGCUCAUAUGAGGGCCAGGACAUGUUCGCUGGAGAGAAAAUUGUGCCAAUUAAGGUUCUUCCCAUUCACUUAUAUUUAAGCGGCGAUCUAUCUGUUUGGAUGAUAAGAUGCUAUUCAAGCAUGACAGUUCCUUUCUUAUUUUUCUUUUCAGCUUGAUAUGCGAGUGAAUCAGACUCUUGUAAGAGACCAGUUUUUGUGGGUAAGGUUAAGAAUCUGCCUAUAGCAUUGUACGGCUGAUGUGGUACUUGCCUUGCUGUCUUAGAGGUUCUGUCUUCAUUAAUUCGUUUGUCUUUGAGUCUCACACUUUUUGUAGUGAUUUUGAUCUUGAUGGAUUUCAGGAUUUGAACAAUUUUGAAAGUGAUCCUGAGGAGUUUGCUAGAACAUUCUGUAGAGAUAUGGAUAUUCAAGACCCAGAAGUCGGGGUAAGAGAAAUUAGUCUACAAUGGCAGCUCGAUCAAUUAAAGAUGAAUGUGCCAGAUAUAAAUGUGCAUAUGAUAAUGUAGGGCCACAAUAAGGAAGAUAAAUGAAACAAAGAGAGAGAGACGUGGAGUAAUUGUCUGAAGUAUUUACAUCUAAUUGACUGCAAGUUGAUAUAGUUUAGGCCUGAUCCAAAUAUGCUUUCAAUGAGAUGGAAUUUUAGAUUAUUUCGAUAUUCCUGAUUACCCAAAAUGGAAAAAACCAUGUACAAAAGGAGAUCUCUUUGCUGCCAAAAACUUUUGGCUUGACAAAACAUGAUUUUCUAUUCUAAAACUCUCUCUCUCUCUCUCUCUCUCACACACACAUGCAUGCGCGUGUGUGCGCACAAAUAUAUUCAUUAGUUGCAUUUUCAUCAUGGCAAUAUACCAAGUGCUGUUUGUUUCUUUUUGUGCAGCCAGCAAUUGCCUUUGCAAUUAGGGAACAACUGUAUGAGGUAAUCUUUAUGUGCCUUGAUGAUCUGUUACAUGUCUUUUCCCUGCUUUCUUGGUUUGUGUUGAAUGUGAAGAAUUGUUUUAAUGCAUAAACACGAUAUCUAAUGUGUCAGAUUGCUAUCCACAAUGUCACUUCAGCCAGAGAAAGCAGAGUAAGCAAGAAGGGUCGCCGGGGUUUUGAAUAUGUUCCAGCCAGGUUGAUCACUCACAUCCUGUUUUCCCUGUGUUGUCAUCCCAAAAUUGCUUCCGAGUGCAAUAUUGAUGCAGUGUUUCUUGCUCAUUCUCUCUCUCUCUCUCUCUCCCCCCUGAGACAGUAAAGCAGGUGGUAUCUCAUUGGACUUGGUUAAAUAUUUCGGACACAAAACGAGUGUGGUCCGGUAAGUCUUUUAUCCUCAACGUAGUUCAUGUAAGGAGCCUUUUCUGUUCCAAUCCACGUUUAUGUCAUGUUGAAAUGUGUGCCACAGUUUUGUAUGUCCAGUUAGUAUCCAAAAUUCCCCUCAUUUGACUGAGAUCUGACUGCACUGUAUUAACUCGUUGGUGUCACAAAGAUUAGAGUAUAUGUUCUUUUCCCAAAUCCUUUUAAUUGGCACUGGAAUUUUCACUAACUGCCCCUUUAUUACUUGUUUAGAUAGACUGUACUUCUUUAAAAUGUCAAUAUCUUUAAUCAAUGUUGCUCUAAUCACUACUUAGGUUUGUGGGACUGACUGAUUCGAUUUCUUAGAUAUCCUUGCAAGCUGCCUUUGAGCAAGAUUUUCACCAUUCUCUUCUAGAGACCUGCCGGAAAUAAAUAAAUGCCUAACAAAGAGAAAAGUCACCUGUCCUCUGUUCCUUCUGCUUUAAUGGAGCAAAAUUGAUAAGAUUAGAUAGCAACCAUAAUGAGGUCUUUUCUAAACACGUCACUGUCAUUUCCUUGUAUCCAACUCAAUCCUUCAAAGCUCUUGAUCAGACCUUGCACUGUCACCUGAUUUUGAAGCUAUCAAGAAGGAGCUCUUCCAUUUUUAUCUGAGAUUAGGAAUGGUAAGCAAACGGUCUUCUGAGUCUUGGAAACUAACCAAAGUGCAUUUUAUGAUAUUGGCAUGAAGCAAUGACUAAAAAGCUCUGCUUUAAUGGGUCUACUGCUGGCAAUUAUCUCUAUGGUGUCAAGAACUCGUCCCCUCUUACUCGACAACUGGUUCAAUUGUGGUUGCUGAAUCAUUAUUGUCUAUGUUUCCAGUUGAUGAUUGGAAAUUCUCAUAAUUUUGGCAAGGAAGGUACUUAUGGUGUUUGGUCCCUUUAUGCUUCAGGAAAAGGAAAGAUUGGGAUGCAUUCGAGCCCAUUGUUGAUAUACUCUCGAGCGAGGAAGUAGAUGCACUUGAAGCGAGGGAAGGGAAGACAACUCGGUGAUGCAUUAGUGACAUUGUGCGUUAAUUAUCAAAACGAAUGCUAGAUGAUACAUUCUAGAGGCUACCUGUUUAUUCUCGAGAAGAGAUUUUCUGUUCAAUUCAUUGUGCAUAGCUUACAAAGUCCAUUAUGUUGGCUAAGCUCAAAACUGGACGAAGAUCAAAUCACUGAAUGAAGAUCCUCUUAGAUGAGCCAUUUCAUUGGCUUUGGACUUUCGAUCAUCUGUUCUUGCAAUUUUGGGCAGAGAGCCAAAUCUACUUUCACAUUUUUCAUGCACUGUUCUGUUCUCUUUUGCUUUGCUUCGAAAUCUUAAGUGCGCCUUUGGCUCUGUGUUCAACAUCCAUGUCCAGUUUAUAUGUGUCUGUCUUUGGUUUUAUCCGCCAUGGUGCUAAUCCCGGCCAUGGCUAAGUUGGUAAUUGGCUUUGUGCAUAUUAGGCAGGCCGAAGGUGCAUAUUCCGAAGAUUAGUUCGGUUACUCAUUUCGAGGGGAACGUGUGAGACAGAAAACAUACUGUAUAUGUAUUUAUUAAUAUAUAUGCGUGUGUAUGUAUGUGCACACAUGUGUACGUGAUUAAUAUAUUUUCUUUGGUUCAACUAUCAAAAUACUUUCUAAAAAUGAAAGGAGAGCAACUCCACGCUUUCUGGUGAGGAGUUGUCUCUGUCUGGUCCGGCACUCAUCUUAUCAUCACAAUUCCUCACCAUACGAGCUGAUCGUGUGGGGCUACGCAAUUCAAUCUUUGCAUAUGCAUGUUUCAUGCACGGAAGAUAAGGACUUCCAUAAAUCAUUUAAGGUGGACUUGGGACCAUGAGCAAUUAUGGCCCAAAAAAGACAAAAAACCAUGAUACAAAAGAGAAGAAAAGGAAAAAGCAAAGAGAGCAUUCAUCCGUGCAUCAAAGACAUAAAUUUCUCCAUUAAAAUCUCGCCAUGAUCUUCACACUAAUCAUGGGGAUUCUUUCCCUAAUCACCUAACAUGACUCCAACAACAACAAAACCAUCCAGAAGAAAAGAAGAAUCAUCAGCGAAAUCAGGCACUAGAAGCCUAGAAGGAGGCGCAUCUCUCUCCCUCCCUCCCUCCCUCUCUCUGUUUUUCAGUUUUUUGUCCUUGUUUCUCCUUCAUUUGGGUUCAUCUUGCCACCCUUUCAGGAACACACCCACAAGGCGAAUACAAAGCACAGCAUGUACAUGUGGAUUUGCAAGAUUAACUCGAAAACACUACUACAUACACAAAAUUCACAUAAGGGCGAUUUGGUGGGUUGGGGCAUUGGAGAGAGGGAGAGAGGCUAAUCAAGAAGUCAUGUUGCAAUGUGUAGCCUUGGACUUGUCCAAGAUCGACCACAUCACUUGAACAUCCUCGUACGCGCACGCCAUCACCUCACCCUGCAGAUCCACCACGCUCUUCUCCUGCCCUGCAAGUGAGAGAGCACAGAAGCAUCGUCAAGCCAAUGAAGCGAACCCUCCUGAUAAAGCUUCAUUAGGUGACCCUAAAAUUCAAGAUGAGUAUCUUUUGAUAAACUAAAUUUAACCGACGGGGAACACAGAUUUCGAGAGAGAGAGAGAGAGAGAGAGAGAGAGAGAGAAAGGUUCUUGUUUACCUUCUUGGGACUUCUUCUCUUUUGGCUGUUGGUUGAAGAAAGUGCAGGCUUUCUUAAAUGGGGUGGUGAUGGUUUUCUUCCAAGAAGCCAUUUUUCUGAGGACUUCCUUGUGUUUCUACAGGAACAAUAUAUACACAAUAAUGUGUGAGAGAGAGAGAGAGGAGAGAGAGCGAGGGGCAAGAUCCGUGAGAUGAGCUUAGAGGAACAUCACUCCUUUUUUUAUAAGGUUAAGAAGCGCGACCAGUGAGUGUGCACAUGGUGGGAAGCUACUCAGAGAGAGAGAGAGAGAGAGAGAGAGAG